GGCCUCAUAGUCAAAUGGUUAAGACACCGCCCUUUCACGGCGGGUUUGGGAGUUCGAUCCUCCCUGAGGUCACCA
RNAcentral lists this transfer RNA (75 nucleotides) under Christensenellaceae bacterium. RNAcentral describes it as "tRNA-Glu". It matches the Rfam family "tRNA". Rfam says of the family: Transfer RNA (tRNA) molecules are approximately 80 nucleotides in length. Their secondary structure includes four short double-helical elements and three loops (D, anti-codon, and T loops). Further hydrogen bonds mediate the characteristic L-shaped molecular structure. tRNAs have two regions of fundamental functional importance: the anti-codon, which is responsible for specific mRNA codon recognition, and the 3' end, to which the tRNAs corresponding amino acid is attached (by aminoacyl-tRNA synthetases). tRNAs cope with the degeneracy of the genetic code in two manners: having more than one tRNA (with a specific anti-codon) for a particular amino acid; and 'wobble' base-pairing, i.e. permitting non-standard base-pairing at the 3rd anti-codon position. The record is from RNAcentral. Lineage: Bacteria; Bacillati; Bacillota; Clostridia; Christensenellales; Christensenellaceae.